Molecule: long non-coding RNA, 1452 nt
Organism: Biomphalaria glabrata
Lineage: Eukaryota; Metazoa; Mollusca; Gastropoda; Planorbidae
Exons: 2
Source: RefSeq, a predicted model, not a curated record
GUAGAUCAAAGAUAAAGGUAGACAAGAUUAUACUAUACAACAGGUAGAUUAAAGAUAAAGGUAGACAAGAUUAUACUAUACAACAGGUAGAUCAAAGAUAAAGGUAGACAAGAUUAUACUAUACAACAAGUAGAUUAAAGAUAUAGGUAGACAAGAUUAUACUAUACAACUAGCCUACCUUGUCCAGAAUUUUCCCAGUGACACCCAUACCAUUUAGAAUCGUAACCUAUUAGAAAUAAAAAAAUAACAAUUUUAAGAAAACCAUACACUUUAAAUGUUGUGAAAAGCCAAAUGACCUUAUAAUUGUACUAACUAUUGAAAAUGACUCUACCAAGUUAUUAUUAUGCAUGUGAACAAAUACAAUAAUUUAUUUUACCAUAAAAUUUAAAGAACAUUAUUGACAGUUUAAAGUUAGUAUUUUAUUAAGUGACUUUAUAAUUCCUCUGGUGAACAGUAAUUCUAAAAAUUUAAUUUGAUGAUGGUCCACUGGCCAGUAUCAACACAUCUGAUGAUGGUAACACAUCUGAUGAUGGUAAACUGGCCAGUACCAACAACUGUGAUGAUGGCCCACUGGCCAGUACCAACAAGUGUGAUGAUGGCCCACUGGCCAGUACCAACAAGUGUGAUGAUGGCCCACUGGCCAGUACCAACAAGUGUGACGAAGCCAGAUUUGUUAUUGAAGCAUUGGACUGAGAUUCUAGUGUUAUAAAAUAGUUUUUAUUUCAAUGAAGAAUAUCCUUAGUACUUCAAAUGAAAUAUUUGUACCAGAUAAUUCUGUUCUAAGUUUUCUUACAAUAAAGAGGAACAGACCCAAUUUAAUGUAUAAUAGCAUAACAUGUACAAAACUAAAAACUAUCACGUUUACAAAUUCCCCAUUUCAGUUGCCCUUUCAUGGGCCACUGUCCCAGGUUUUUACCAAUUUAAAAUGUCUCGACCCGCUGCAUUAACCAAGGCAAAAAAUUGAUUCAACUAAUUUAAAGUAAGUCCAAAAUGAGUCAGAAAUAACUUACAUUGACAAUGACAGGCAUGCCACCGUAGUAGACAGGCUGAGUACAGUAGGGCCACAUAUAAGGGGAUUCCAUAAGGUCAAUGUAGCUGGGACUUGCGCUGUGGGAGAUACAGAGAAAUACAUACAUCAGUACCCAUAGGGCUAAUACUGAUGUGGCAUAAACCAUUAAAAAAUCACCAGUCAUCAAUACUCUAUACAAAAGUAACCAGGCGCUGUUAAUGUGAAACGAUCAAUAUAAUCAUAGAACAUCUCAAAAAAAAAAAAAAAAGUUGCAUAAACCAUUAAAAAAUCACCAGUCAUCAAUACUUUAUACAAAAGUAACCAGGCGCUGUUAAUGUGAAACGAUCAAUAUAAUCAUAGAACAUCAAAAAAAGUUGAUGUAGAAUAAGAUGUUAAAGACUACAUACAAAUGCAAUGACUAAAAGAUUUCCUGGUGGACUGAG